UACGUAGGGGGCGAGCGUUGUCCGGAUUUACUGGGCGUAAAGAGCGCGUAGGCGGAUGUUUAAGUGUGGCCUCAAAGCCCCCGGCUCAACCGGGGAUCUGGGUUGCAAACUGGGCAUCUUGAGGGGGAUAGAGGAGAGUGGAAUUCCUGGUGUAGCGGUGAAAUGCGUAGAUAUCAGGAGGAACACCCGUGGCGAAGGCGGCUCUCUGGGUCCGACCUGACGCUGAGGCGCGAAAGCGUGGGGAGCAAACAGG
RNAcentral lists this ribosomal RNA (253 nucleotides) under uncultured bacterium. RNAcentral describes it as "partial 16S ribosomal RNA". It matches the Rfam family "Bacterial small subunit ribosomal RNA", at positions 524 to 776 of the family's 1533-position model. The record is from RNAcentral.